Molecule: ribosomal RNA, 2923 nt
Filed under: Klebsiella pneumoniae
Lineage: Bacteria; Pseudomonadati; Pseudomonadota; Gammaproteobacteria; Enterobacterales; Enterobacteriaceae
Description: bacterial LSU rRNA
Rfam family: Bacterial large subunit ribosomal RNA
Source: RNAcentral
GGGUUGUGAGGUUAAGCGACUAAGCGUACACGGUGGAUGCCCUGGCAGUCAGAGGCGAUGAAGGACGUGCUAAUCUGCGAAAAGCGUCGGUAAGGUGAUAUGAACCGUUAUAACCGGCGAUGUCCGAAUGGGGAAACCCAGUGCAAUUCGUUGCACUAUCGUUAACUGAAUACAUAGGUUAACGAGGCGAACCGGGGGAACUGAAACAUCUAAGUACCCCGAGGAAAAGAAAUCAACCGAGAUUCCCCCAGUAGCGGCGAGCGAACGGGGAGCAGCCCAGAGUCUGAAUCAGCUUGUGUGUUAGUGGAACGGUCUGGAAAGUCCGACGGUACAGGGUGAUAGUCCCGUACACCAAAAUGCACAGGCUGUGAACUCGAAGAGUAGGGCGGGACACGUGGUAUCCUGUCUGAAUAUGGGGGGACCAUCCUCCAAGGCUAAAUACUCCUGACUGACCGAUAGUGAACCAGUACCGUGAGGGAAAGGCGAAAAGAACCCCGGCGAGGGGAGUGAAAAAGAACCUGAAACCGUGUACGUACAAGCAGUGGGAGCACCUUCGGGUGUGACUGCGUACCUUUUGUAUAAUGGGUCAGCGACUUAUAUUCUGUAGCAAGGUUAACCGUAUAGGGGAGCCGCAGGGAAACCGAGUCUUAACUGGGCGUUAAGUUGCAGGGUAUAGACCCGAAACCCGGUGAUCUAGCCAUGGGCAGGUUGAAGGUUGGGUAACACUAACUGGAGGACCGAACCGACUAAUGUUGAAAAAUUAGCGGAUGACUUGUGGCUGGGGGUGAAAGGCCAAUCAAACCGGGAGAUAGCUGGUUCUCCCCGAAAGCUAUUUAGGUAGCGCCUCGUGAACUCAUCUUCGGGGGUAGAGCACUGUUUCGGCUAGGGGGUCAUCCCGACUUACCAACCCGAUGCAAACUACGAAUACCGAAGAAUGUUAUCACGGGAGACACACGGCGGGUGCUAACGUCCGUCGUGAAGAGGGAAACAACCCAGACCGCCAGCUAAGGUCCCAAAGUCAUGGUUAAGUGGGAAACGAUGUGGGAAGGCACAGACAGCCAGGAUGUUGGCUUAGAAGCAGCCAUCAUUUAAAGAAAGCGUAAUAGCUCACUGGUCGAGUCGGCCUGCGCGGAAGAUGUAACGGGGCUAAACCAUGCACCGAAGCUGCGGCAGCGACACUAUGUGUUGUUGGGUAGGGGAGCGUUCUGUAAGCCUGCGAAGGUGUGCUGUGAGGCAUGCUGGAGGUAUCAGAAGUGCGAAUGCUGACAUAAGUAACGAUAAAGCGGGUGAAAAGCCCGCUCGCCGGAAGACCAAGGGUUCCUGUCCAACGUUAAUCGGGGCAGGGUGAGUCGACCCCUAAGGCGAGGCCGAAAGGCGUAGUCGAUGGGAAACAGGUUAAUAUUCCUGUACUUGGUGUUACUGCGAAGGGGGGACGGAGAAGGCUAUGUUAGCCGGGCGACGGUUGUCCCGGUUUAAGCAUGUAGGCUGGUUGUCCAGGCAAAUCCGGAUAAUCAAGGCUGAGGUGUGAUGACGAGGUACUACGGUGCUGAAGUAACAAAUGCCCUGCUUCCAGGAAAAGCCUCUAAGCAUCAGGUAACAUCAAAUCGUACCCCAAACCGACACAGGUGGUCAGGUAGAGAAUACCAAGGCGCUUGAGAGAACUCGGGUGAAGGAACUAGGCAAAAUGGUGCCGUAACUUCGGGAGAAGGCACGCUGGUGUGUAGGUGAAGUCCCUGCGGAUGGAGCUGAGACCAGUCGAAGAUACCAGCUGGCUGCAACUGUUUAUUAAAAACACAGCACUGUGCAAACACGAAAGUGGACGUAUACGGUGUGACGCCUGCCCGGUGCCGGAAGGUUAAUUGAUGGGGUUAUCCGUAAGGAGAAGCUCUUGAUCGAAGCCCCGGUAAACGGCGGCCGUAACUAUAACGGUCCUAAGGUAGCGAAAUUCCUUGUCGGGUAAGUUCCGACCUGCACGAAUGGCGUAAUGAUGGCCAGGCUGUCUCCACCCGAGACUCAGUGAAAUUGAACUCGCUGUGAAGAUGCAGUGUACCCGCGGCAAGACGGAAAGACCCCGUGAACCUUUACUAUAGCUUGACACUGAACAUUGAGCCUUGAUGUGUAGGAUAGGUGGGAGGCUUUGAAGCGUGGACGCCAGUCUGCGUGGAGCCAACCUUGAAAUACCACCCUUUAAUGUUUGAUGUUCUAACGUUGGCCCCUUACCGGGGUUGCGGACAGUGUCUGGUGGGUAGUUUGACUGGGGCGGUCUCCUCCCAAAGCGUAACGGAGGAGCACGAAGGUUAGCUAAUCCUGGUCGGACAUCAGGAGGUUAGUGCAAUGGCAUAAGCUAGCUUGACUGCGAGCGUGACGGCGCGAGCAGGUGCGAAAGCAGGUCAUAGUGAUCCGGUGGUUCUGAAUGGAAGGGCCAUCGCUCAACGGAUAAAAGGUACUCCGGGGAUAACAGGCUGAUACCGCCCAAGAGUUCAUAUCGACGGCGGUGUUUGGCACCUCGAUGUCGGCUCAUCACAUCCUGGGGCUGAAGUAGGUCCCAAGGGUAUGGCUGUUCGCCAUUUAAAGUGGUACGCGAGCUGGGUUUAGAACGUCGUGAGACAGUUCGGUCCCUAUCUGCCGUGGGCGCUGGAGAAUUGAGGGGGGCUGCUCCUAGUACGAGAGGACCGGAGUGGACGCAUCACUGGUGUUCGGGUUGUCAUGCCAAUGGCACUGCCCGGUAGCUAAAUGCGGAAGAGAUAAGUGCUGAAAGCAUCUAAGCACGAAACUUGCCCCGAGAUGAGUUCUCCCUGAGACUUUAAGUCUCCUGAAGGAACGUUGAAGACGACGACGUUGAUAGGCCGGGUGUGUAAGCGCAGCGAUGCGUUGAGCUAACCGGUACUAAUGAACCGUGAGGCUUAACCUUACAACGCCGAAG